Molecule: small nuclear RNA, 111 nt
Organism: Bos grunniens (domestic yak)
Lineage: Eukaryota; Metazoa; Chordata; Mammalia; Artiodactyla; Bovidae
Gene: U5
Rfam family: U5 spliceosomal RNA
About the family: U5 RNA is a component of both types of known spliceosome.
Source: Ensembl
AUACUCUAGCUUCUCUUCAGAUCAUAUAUGUCUUUUGCCUUUUACUAAAGAUAUCCGUGGAAAAGAACAGUUAAGAGGAGUUUUUUUAGGGACUUAAAAAAAAAAAGUCAU